Molecule: ribosomal RNA, 466 nt
Filed under: uncultured bacterium
Lineage: Bacteria
Description: partial 16S ribosomal RNA
Rfam family: Bacterial small subunit ribosomal RNA
Source: RNAcentral
GAUGAACGCUGGCGGCGUGCUUAACACAUGCAAGUCGAACGAUGAAGCUCAGCUUGCUGGGUGGAUUAGUGGCGAACGGGUGAGUAACACGUGAGUAACCUGCCCUUAACUCUGGGAUAAGCCUGGGAAACUAGGUCUAAUACCGGAUAGGAGCGCCUACCGCAUGGUGGGUGUUGGAAAGAUUUAUCGGUUUUGGAUGGACUCGCGGCCUAUCAGCUUGUUGGUGAGGUAAGGGCUGACCAAGGCGACGACGGGUAGCCGGCCUGAGAGGGUGACCGGCCACACUGGGACUUAGACACGGCCCAGACUCCUACGGGAGGCAGCAGUGGGGAAUAUUGCACAAUGGGCGAAAGCCUGAUGCAGCGACGCCGCGUGAGGGAUGACGGCCUUCGGGUUGUAAACCUCUUUCAGUAGGGAAGAAGCGAAAGUGACGGUACCUGCAGAAGAAGCACCGGCUAACUACGUG